RNAcentral lists this long non-coding RNA (350 nucleotides) under Carica papaya (papaya). Its description in RNAcentral is "long non-coding RNA (CPAP_LNC013804)". Lineage: Eukaryota; Viridiplantae; Streptophyta; Magnoliopsida; Brassicales; Caricaceae. The record is from RNAcentral.
CAAAAGUACUCGUCAACUCAACGAGUGCCCAGUUAUCUUCUAAUAAUGGAUUUAUUUAAGUUAAAUUUCUCAUUAAUUAAUAUUGUAAUUUAUAUAUUUCAUUAAUUUUUUCCUAAUUUCGAGUGAGAUUAUAUAAAAAGCAAAAAAUGGAUCAGAUUAAAAACUCUAUGUUCUUGAUAUAUAAAGGUGAGUUGUCACCGCAACAAAAAGAAUCAGCAAAGCAAUCCGCCGUUCUCUUACAAUCAAACACAAAACUGAAUUCCUCACCCAGCAAAAAUGAUUUACCAGAAUUAUUCAUCAUCGGACACGUCGAACUUUAUCGAGUGGGAUUGCAUAUCAAUCUGCCCUCC